UAUGUAAAAUUCUGCCAUAUACAUAUGCUGGGCAUGUGAAGUAGUUUGAGGACAUCCUAAAAGAGAACACUGAAAAAUAGGAGAUAAAAAGCAAGGCUCUGAGCCCUGAAACAUUUGGUUUGGUAGGAGGGGACUGGGGAAGCAACGUCCCUCCCACUGUAAAUGAAUGACCACCUGAGGAACAUGAACAUCCGCAAGUCUAUGGAUCCUGAUGAGAUGAAUUCCAGAAUCCUGAAGGAAUUAGCUGAUGUGGUCACUAAAACCCUCUCAACGAUAUUUGAAAAGCUCCUUUUACGUCAGAAGGGAAUGACUAUCUCAGAAAUCCCUAACGCUGAAGAUGAGGAUAUUUACUGAAAAAUUGAUUGCUUGACCUGCACCUUGAUUUGACUCAGACCUGCACACCUCACCAGUUUCUGCAUUACAGUACAGAGAUACAUUGAUGUUUUUUCUUUCAAUGAACUAAUUUCUCCCUUAUAGACAUUUGAAAAUGAAGAAUAUAUACAACACAUUUCCAAAAAUAACUGAUAUUCCUGCCUGGCUACAUCAUAAAUCCAAUCUUAGGAAUAGGUUGAACACACCUCUUUUCUAGUUAUAACCUAUGCAUUUAUCCUUGCUGAUUUGGAAAAAAAUGUCAAGUAAACCUAUCUGAAAGAGGAACAGUUGGCUGAGUAAAGCCAAACCACGCUCCUGGAAUCAGAAUAUUGCAGCAGUACAGCAGUGUAAAGAAGUUCUCAGAUUUGAAGGCAUUUUAAAUAAUUUAGACUAUUUCAACAGCAUCAAGAAGAAACCUCAGCAAAGCCAGACUGUCAAGAUUUUGCAUCCUCACAAGCGUGGGCUCCUAUGAUUUAUGUGGACAUCUGUCCUGUGAGAAAGGAUUGCCAGAUUUAACUAAGUUAAAUCUGCAUACUGACAGAUGGCAAUGAUGUCUACUGUAAGAAGUGUCUGAAUUAUUUAGAGGUUUUUUUUCUCAUUAGGAGAGUGCUGACCCUCCCUCCUGUGAUGCCUUCAGACAUCAGUGUUCAUACCUCAUCCUACUUUUCCUGUUUGAACUUGAUAGCAUACAGAAAUAGAGGCUGCCUAAAUGCAUUGAAGAUUCUCAUUGGUACAUGCAACUGUCAUGGAUCCACAUCUACCAGAUGAACAUGAUUUGACUAGGACUUAGCAAACGUACUUUAUUUCAUUAUUCUCUGUUCUCUUAUUCUAAAGCAAUACCAAUUGUUUGUAAAACAAAACAGGCAUGAAUUCUUAGUGGUUAAAAAAAAGAAUAAAAUUAAACUUGUUUUUCUUGUCUGUUAUAGUCUGUACUUGUGUCCUGAUGAUUGAGACCUUGUUGUAGCAACUUAUAUCACCUCAGGAAAAAAUUCAAAGAGUCAGAACCUUAAAUGAACUUUCUAUAAAUAAUCUGCUGUGCAUUUUCAUAGUUAUGGGAUUUGGUGUUUAUUUCCUAUAAAAACCUGCAUUCAUAUUUAGAUCAGAUUUACUCUAGCACUCAUUUAUGAUAAUGCCACAGAAAUAAUUUUCUAAAACUUGGUGUUAUAGACAGAUUACUAACAAAGCAAUUCUAGCAAGCAACCAGAAUAUUCUGUCCUAGUGAAGACAUUGUUUCUUUGGCUUCUACUCCAUAAAUGAACAAUAUAAAUUUUUUCAGUAAUAGAAAAGCUCCUGCAGGCUCCACAAUGCUAGACCCACUAUUCAGGUCACCUAAUAAACACACUUGUCAGGACUAAUUAUUCCCUGCUAACAUUUCUGUAAAUAAUGGAAAAAUAAACCUCCCUGAAGUCAACAUUGCCAUUAGUCACUUUGUUCAGCAAAACCUCUCUGUGCAAAUUUGGGUCAAAUUAAUGAAAUGUAAUUAAUAAUUUAACAUAACUGAGUAUGAUGAGAAAAAAAAAAAUACUUCUACUUCUUUCACAUAAAACUUAACCUUUAAACUUUUCACCAGAACAUGAAAUUACUGCUUGGAUUAACGAUAGCCCAUAUACUGCUAAUACUAGUUAGUUGCUAAUAUGAUUCACCUUGCAGUUUCUGACUUUUGUUUUUCCCAAUUAAUCAAUUCUGUUUCCAUAGAUAACAUAUGAGCAUAAUUUAUGUGAUUAUCUGAUCAACUCUUCUGUGCUUUGUUCUUUUGUGAUUUUAAAAAAUAUUUUUGAUAAUAGUUGCUUUUCUUUAUUCAUUGAUCCUGUUUAAAGUACUAUUGUGCUAGAGACUACAACUGUGCUGCUGCAAUUUGUUUAUAUGGCAAUUCACUAUGAUAUUGCAAAAAAAAAAAAAUGGGUGAAGUUCAUUUUGCAGUAGUAUUCUUCUUACACCUUUGGAAAGCAGUGCCUCAUAUGUCUGUAAGACAGAUGUGCAAGAACAAGACACUGAUUUGUUACAAGAGCAUAGGAGAACAGCACACUGAAAUCGUAAUGAAGGUUGGCUCUUUAAUAUACUGUUUUUCUUCUCUUUCUCUCACUUUUAAUAUGCUACUACUUGAGAGGCUUCACUUUACUUGGAUUGCAUAUCCUGAGGCUUGAAGACAUCUUGUUUUGAAUCCCAUUGUAGGAAAAUGGUCUAUAUUCAUUGAAUAUAGUUGAUAAUGUGAGAGUCUCAUUCAAAAUCCCUGCUAAAUUAACAAGAAUGUUAUAAUUUGUGAUGAUUCUGCAGCAGUGAGAUUCUCUCCGUCUUGUCACCUGUCUCUGUGCAAACUGCCUGAUUAUAAUCAGUCCUGAACUUCUUAGGUAUUAAUGAGGAGAAUUUGUUUCAGAAGGCUAAUGCUAAUGAUACAGAAAAGCUUACACAGAAAAAAAUGUCAUAAAAUGAAAUAGUAAAAACCAAGUAAUUUUGUCCCUGAUUGAGAGCCAGCUUCAGCAUGUUCAGUUCUCCAAUAACUACACCAGUGGAUCUUUCCAGCUUACUUCUCUGCUGAAAAGUUACCCCAAAGGACUAAAUUUGAAGCUGAGGCAGGUGAGAAGACAUCAAAUGAGAUUCAACUAGCCCCUCCUCAACUGUCAGCACCUUUUGCCAAUGUAGAAUGAUGAUUUCUGUGCACAUAUGUAUGCAUUCUUCCAGAAUGCAAGCUUUGAUGUCUGUCUAUGCCAAAGUUAUUCAAACACUUUUUUUUUUAAGCAAACAAACAAAGAGAACAUUUUCCCUUAUUUUUUUCUUCCAACUUUGGAAAAAUAAGGCUGUAUAAAUCCCUCAGUGUAUCCAGCUGGGAUAUAAUCCAAUAGUUCUGGUGGAAUUUAAUUAUAGUAACAUCCUAAUUGAAGGUAAAUUAAACAAGACUAAAACCAAGAGCUGUCAUACUAAAUGAAAAUCUAAAUUACAUAGGUAACAGACAGUUCUGUCUUAGAAUUAUGACUUAAGGAGUGUGACAUUGUUUUCAGGUUAAUCAAUGAAAGCUUCACAAAUAUUUUGAAGCCUUCCUUGAUCUAUUAAAGGCCAAAUUAAAUCUAAACCUCUGAAAGACACUGAGGAGAGGAAAGUGAAUCAAUUCACUUUGGAGAGGGAAAAAUGCGUGCAAUGGGUGAGCGGGCUCUCUUGGAGCUUUGAUGGUCUUAUAGGUUGGGGUUUCCUCCAGUCCAGUGACCAAUGCAGAGGUGUGCUUGCCUGGUAUCUAAUCACUCAGGCUUAUUUUUAUUACCUGAUCACCUAGACAUUACUUUUACGCCAUGUUUACUACGAUGUUAGCUUGUACUGGCAGUCAGCUGCCUGUACGAUGAGUGACUUCCCUGCCCAAGCCAGGGUGAGUGAAAGGAAGUGUGGGACUCCACCCCCUGUGGAAAUGUUUUCCUUCUUCUUUUCUAUCUUGUCUCAGAACACCACAAAUGUUACAUCGUUUCAUCAUCAGAGACGCAUCUAUCAUCAUUUUGUCUUGUAAAUGCUGUGACGUAUCUUGCAAAACCCUCCAUGCUGGCACAAAAGUAGCUCAGGCAGCUUUAUUGACGCAUGCUCUCCUCAAGAUUACCACCCUAGGGUUUUUUCAUCAGCCCCCACCAAGCACAUACAGAAACAAAAAAAAACAACAAACCAAACCAAAACAAACAAACAAACAAAAAUUCCACACCCACAAACAAAAAAAAAACAAUCCAACUGAAGAGUUUUUUCCAUUCUAAUCCACUUAUCAUGUCAGUCUCUUACCACCUUUCUGGUUCCUCAGCUGUCAAGACAAGUCUCCACAAGAAAACUACCAGCCCUUCAUCAAUAGAGCUUGUCAGCUGCAGGCUCUGUAACUGCAUUUUCCUGCUUUUUAGUAGCAAAUCUUAAUAUCUCUAAGAAAAUGACAGCACAGCUAACAGUCUGCACUUUUCAUCCAUCUAUAAAUGCACAGCUGGCAUCCUUAUGGGAUUUUCUAAAUGCAUAUUCAGGCUAGCGUUUUCAAAUCCUCAGAUAUGGCCUGUGUUAUUUCUUCUAGCAGGAGAAAAACAACAACAAAACUAGUGCAGACAUAGAGGGCUCUUCUCUUAAUCUUUUGGAUUUACCUGAGGUUAACUUUGGGAUUUGAACAGAAAAAGCUUUUCAUUUUUAUUCACUAUUACCUUGCAUGGGGUCCCAGAAUCUAUGUAGUGACUUGUAAAGAAAAAAGCUCACUUUGGGUCAAAAGCCUCACCCUAGGAAAUAUACAGCUGGGAUCUGGUGAAAACACAGGUUCCACUUACCUGUUUAAUAUCAUGUCCAACUGCAGUUUUCUCCAGGGAAAGUUACUUGUUGAUAGACAGUUGUAGUGGCCCACAGCAACCCAAAAAAUAAAAAAGAACCGAUCUAUCAUUUGCUGCAGUUUUACUUGCUUUUGUUUACUCAUUUAGACAGUGCUGUCAAAUCUGUGCCCUUCUAGAGAUACUUGCUUUUUUAACCCUUGUGAACAUUAGCUGCUUCUGAAUGGAACUCCCAAAGGCAGUACACAUUGUAGAGCACCUUGUCAACUCACUUAGUAUAGCAACGUAGUAUGAGAUAGCAUGAAACUUCAGGAUUUAUCUUUAAAUAUUGCCUCUCUGAAGAUUCAUAUAGAGAAUUAUUAUUACUAUUGCUAUGGAUAUAAUUGAGUUCUCUUCUGAAGAUAAUUUCUUAUUUUCCUCCCUUUUAGUGGCUUGAAUUUGUGAAGGUGGAUGUUGGAGUAAGAAGUUUAUAAUUCACUGUUAGUAUGCUGUAGUCUAAAAUUUGCAGUGUUGACUCAGGAAGUGGUAAAGGAAGAUUUAUCCUUCUGCUUCUUCUACAAAAACAUAAUGUGAGCAAUAUGGUCAUGAAAUAAUGUACAGAAAAUUGUAUAUUUAAGGGAAAGCAGGAUUUCUGUCACGUUUAUGUCCUGUUUCAUUGCCUUUCUAAUUCAGAGUAUUCUAUUUUUUGUUACAUCUUGGGAGAUUAUUGAGGCAAAGAAAGUUCCACAAAAUUGAUGAUAAUUUUGAAUUAAAUGAUAUAUAUUUCACCCUGCUGGGCUGGAAUAGAUCGCUUGUCUCUUUGCAGAUAAAGAGCUGAGCAUGGUUUCUUCAGGAAGACUGAAUCCAGUUUCAGUUUUCCUAAUAAGCACUCCAACAGCAAGCUUCUUAACUCGCAAAAGAGGAAGAGAAAACUCCUCACUGAGUAUUUUUAAAUGAAAGUCCAAAUUUUAAUUGCAUUUUUUGAGGAAUUUUGAUUUUGUGGUGUUCACAUGUUUAAAGAAUUGUAGUAAGCUACUUAAUGUAAUGAGGCAAAUGGUCAUAGUGUUUGCUGAUUGUGUUUGGGUAGGUGGCAGGACAAUUUGACUGUGAUGCCUCAAUAUAAUUAUUUAAGAUAAAAUAAGUAGACAUGUAUGUGACAUUUCUAUUUUACAGCUUCAUUUCAAACUUAAGAUUUCUGCACACAUUUUACAGAUCUGUAAAGCCAUGGAAAUCAUGUGCAGGUGCUCUUUAUGGCUUACUGUUUUGAUAUUUUGCCAUCAUCCAAAGCUUUUUAUUGUGACACUCUAACCAAUAAAAUACUAAACUCAUCUACAGUAGUAGUUAUGACAACUUUAUAUGUUAAAGGUAAUUAAAACACAGAGGUCUGAUUAUCUGCUUGUACUGUUAGUUCUUAUUUAUUUGCUUAUGUAUUUUGUAUGUGAUUCCUAAGAUCAUAAAAUCAACUAUUUACAUUCAGUUACAGAUUGAGUGAUAACAGCAGAAAUCUUAAAACUGCUUAUGAUGACAAAGUUUUCCCAGUUGUUAACAAAACCCUGAUUAGACCUGGUGAAAUAUCAGAAAACUGUUUCAAAAAAUAAACAUGUUUCUGGAAACUGCAAAGUUCAAUGACUGAUGAAUUCAACAAAUGGAACACGACCACAGGGCUCAUGUGUAGGGCUCUCUCCAAGAAAAUGCCAGAGGUUUUAGUGAGCCAUUUGCAUAGCUAACUCGAUUUGCUCCAGGAGUGUGUAGAUACUUUAUAAAUGUGGAUUUCUAAAAGUGCAGUCCUAUGACAGCAAAUUUCUCAGGGCAGCUGCUGCAAGCUAGGAAGUUAAUGUAAUUUAUCACUAGCAGUUACCAGAGCAUAAGCUCAGUGGAUGCCUUUUAGAUAUUUGCAAAUAGAAACACCUGUUUUCAAGUAGCCAGGUAUCUCCAAUUCCUCAUUGAGAUAUGCAUAAUAAAAGCAAAAUGCAAAACAAAAUAAUGAUGGGUGUUCUAAGACUGUUUCCUCUGCAUUACUUAUAUCUUUCAUCAGUCUAUGUUUUGAGAUGAGAUUUGUGCAUUAUAGGUGUGAAAAAUGAUAAUGAAUUGCAUCAUACAGCAUGUGCUCUGUUUCUUAAAGGCCUUAUUGUUCAUUAGUUAAUAAUUCCAUUGCAGUAAUCCUUUUGGAGGAUAUGGUAUAAAGUGGCUUUGCAAGUUUGUUUGGAAAUUGAGUUUCCAAAUUUAAGAGUUAUCUCUUUUAGAAACACUCUUCCAGCAAACUUCACUGGGGUUUAUUUUCCUCAGAGAUUGUGCUGUUCUUGUUUUGCCUUUUUUUAUUUCCAGUGUAUUCAGCUCAGUUUUCCACAAACAGUUCCUGUUUUGCCUGUC
Meleagris gallopavo (turkey) is the source of this 6986-nucleotide non-coding RNA. The record is from RefSeq and is a predicted model, not a curated record. Lineage: Eukaryota; Metazoa; Chordata; Aves; Galliformes; Phasianidae.